Molecule: ribosomal RNA, 251 nt
Filed under: uncultured prokaryote
Description: partial 16S ribosomal RNA
Rfam family: Bacterial small subunit ribosomal RNA
Source: RNAcentral
ACGGAGGGUGCGAGCGUUAAUCGGAAUUACUGGGCGUAAAGCGCAUGCAGGUGGUUCAUUAAGUCAGAUGUGAAAUCCCCGGGCUCAACCUGGGAACUGCAUUUCUGACUGCCUAACUAGAGUUUGAUAGAGGGGGGUGGAAUUCCAGGUGUAGCAGUGAAAUGCGUAGAGAUGUGGAGGAAUACCGAUGGCGAAGGCAGCCCCCUGGGUCAUGACUGACGCUCAGGUACGAAAGCGUGGGGAGCAAACGG